AUGAGUACUACCGUCUGGCUCUCCUCCACUGCCACCACUUGCUCCACCACUCGCUCCACCACCUACCCCUCCAACUACUGGUCCCUGGGCUCCAUCCCACCACCCAGCCUGCGGCCCACCAGCAGCGCGGCCAGCGUCUAUGCAGGCGCCAGCGGCUCGGGCUCCCAGAUCUCUGUGUCCUGCUCCACCAGUUUUCAGGGCGGCUGGGGGUCCGGGGGCCUGGCUACAGGGAUGGCCGGGAGUCUGGGGGGCAUCCAGAGCGAGAAGGAGACCAUGCAAGAGCUGAACGACCGCCUGGCCUCCUCCCUGGAGAGGGUGAGGAGCCUGGAGACCGAGAACUGGAGGCUGGAGAGCAAACUCCGGGAACACCUGGAGAAGAAGGGACCCCAGGUCAGAGACUAGGGACCUUACUUCAAGACCAUCGAGGACCUGAAGGCUCAGAUCUUUGCAACUUCUGUGGACAAUGCCCGCAUCGUUCUGCAGACAGACAACGCCUGUCUUGCUGAUGAUGACUUUAGAGUCAAGUAUGAGACAGAGCUGGCCAUGCGCCAGUCCGUGGAGAGUGACAUCCAGGAGCUCCGCAAGGUCAUCGAUGACACCAAUGUCACCCGGCUGCAGCUGGAGACAGAGAUCGAGGCCCUCAAGGAAGAGCUGCUCUUCAUGAAGAAGAACCAUGAGGAGGAAGUAAAAGGCCUACAAGCCCAGAUUGCCAGCUCUGGGUUGACCGUGGAGGUAGAUGCCCCCAAAU
Carlito syrichta (Philippine tarsier) is the source of this 748-nucleotide RNA transcript. It is a transcript of the gene named keratin, type I cytoskeletal 18 pseudogene, with no coding region annotated. The record is from RefSeq and is a predicted model, not a curated record. The transcript has a single exon. NCBI's taxonomy places the organism in Eukaryota, Metazoa, Chordata, Mammalia, Primates, Tarsiidae.